Ailuropoda melanoleuca (giant panda) is the source of this 326-nucleotide long non-coding RNA. RefSeq lists it as uncharacterized. NCBI's taxonomy places the organism in Eukaryota, Metazoa, Chordata, Mammalia, Carnivora, Ursidae. The record is from RefSeq and is a predicted model, not a curated record. The transcript has 3 exons.
CAGCUUUGACUCAGUAAUCCUUUGCAUGGUAAACUGCAAAGUACUUUUGUACAAAGGACAAGAUGGUCAACAUGUGAGAACAGAAGAUUGCAACAACAUGCAUGGACCUGGAGGGCAUUAUGCAAGGCUCCCCACAUGCACGAGAGGGUCCAAGACAGGGAGGCAGGAUGAGGAAUCCGUGCGUCCUGAGCUAAGGAUGGGGCUGGAGCUGGGGCUGGGCGGUGCCUUCACUUGGAAUGAGCGAGAAGGAAAAGGUGACUCUUCCAAACCCAGGAUGAACGCAUUCCACCCUCACAGUCCCCUAGAGGGCGGCCAGCCACGACGCG